Molecule: ribosomal RNA, 253 nt
Filed under: uncultured bacterium
Lineage: Bacteria
Description: partial 16S ribosomal RNA
Rfam family: Bacterial small subunit ribosomal RNA
Source: RNAcentral
GACAGAGGGUGCAAGCGUUGUUCGGAUUUACUGGGCGUAAAGAGCGUGUAGGCGGCUAUGUAAGUCGGGCGUGAAAUCCCACGGCUCAACCGUGGAAGUGCACCCGAAACUGCGUAGCUAGAGUCCUGGAGAGGAAGGUGGAAUGCUUGGUGUAGAGGUGAAAUUCGUAGAUAUCAAGCGGAACACCGGUGGCGAAGGCGGCCUUCUGGACAGUGACUGACGCUGAGACGCGAAGGCGUGGGGAGCAAACAGG